CGCUGGCGGCGUGCCUAACACAUGCAAGUCGAACGGAGGUUAGUGCUUCGGUAUUGACCUUAGUGGCGAACGGGUGAGUAACGCGUGAGGAACCUGCCUUUCAGUGGGGGACAACAGUUGGAAACGACUGCUAAUACCGCAUAAUGUUAUUUGGGGGCAUCCCUGAAUAACCAAAGAUUUAUUGCUGAAAGAUGGUCUCGCGUCUGAUUAGCUAGUUGGCGGGGUAACGGCUCACCAAGGCGACGAUCAGUAGCCGGUCUGAGAGGAUGGACGGCCACAUUGGGACUGAGACACGGCCCAGACUCCUACGGGAGGCAGCAGUGGGGAAUAUUGCACAAUGGGGGAAACCCUGAUGCAGCGAUGCCGCGUGAAGGAUGAAGAAUUUCGGUUCGUAAACUUCUAUCAGCAAGGAAGAACUAAGACAGUACUUGACUAAGCAGCCCCGGCUAACUACGUG
Molecule: ribosomal RNA, 457 nt
Filed under: uncultured bacterium
Lineage: Bacteria
Description: bacterial SSU rRNA
Rfam family: Bacterial small subunit ribosomal RNA
Source: RNAcentral